RNAcentral lists this ribosomal RNA (99 nucleotides) under Pteropus alecto (black flying fox). Lineage: Eukaryota; Metazoa; Chordata; Mammalia; Chiroptera; Pteropodidae. The record is from RNAcentral.
GUCUGUGGCCAUGCCACCCUGAUCUCGGAAGGUAAGCAGGGUCGGGCAUGGUUAGUACUUGGAUGGGAGACCACCUAGGAAGAUCAGGUGCUGUAGGCA